GACUUAAUGAGAAUGUUGGCUCUCCUUGCAGAAGACAAGAAGGACAUUUGCUAAUGAAGACUGUGGAAGAUGCAGCAGCUUUUUUAUGAGAAUUAUGAGCAGAACAAAAAGGGGUACAUUAGAGAUCUCCAUAACAGUAAAAUUCACCAAGCUAUCACAUUACACCCCAACAAAAACCCACCCUACCAGUACAGGCUCCACAGCUACAUGCUGAGCCGCAAAAUAGCCGAGCUCCGCCAUCGCACAAUACAGCUGCACCGUGAAAUUGUCCUGAUGAGCAAAUACAGCAACACAGAAAUUCAUAAAGAGGACCUCCAGCUGGGAAUCCCUCCUUCCUUCAUGAGGUUUCAGCCCCGCCAGCGGGAGGAGAUUCUGGAAUGGGAGUUUCUGACUGGAAAAUACUUGUAUUCGGCAGUUGACGGCCAGCCCCCUCGAAGAGGAAUGGACUCCGCUCAGAGGGAAGCCUUGGACGACAUUGUCAUGCAGGUCAUGGAGAUGAUCAAUGCCAACGCCAAGACCAGAGGGCGCAUCAUUGACUUCAAGGAGAUCCAGUACGGCUACCGCCGGGUGAACCCCAUGUAUGGGGCUGAGUACAUCCUGGACCUGCUGCUUCUGUACAAAAAGCACAAAGGGAAGAAAAUGACGGUCCCUGUGAGGAGGCAUGCGUAUUUACAGCAGACUUUCAGCAAAAUCCAGUUUGUGGAGCAUGAGGAGCUGGAUGCACAGGAGUUGGCCAAGAGAAUCAAUCAGGAAUCUGGAUCCUUGUCUUUUCUCUCAAACUCCCUGAAGAAGCUUGUCCCCUUUCAGCUCCCUGGGUCGAAGAGUGAGCACAAAGAACCCAAAGAUAAAAAGAUAAACAUACUGAUUCCUUUGUCUGGGCGUUUCGACAUGUUUGUGAGAUUUAUGGGAAACUUUGAGAAGACGUGUCUUAUCCCCAAUCAGAACGUCAAGCUCGUGGUUCUGCUUUUCAAUUCUGACUCCAACCCUGACAAGGCCAAACAAGUUGAACUGAUGCGAGAUUACCGAGUUAAGUACCCGAAAGCCGACAUGCAGAUACUGCCUGUGUCUGGAGAGUUUUCAAGAGCUCUGGCCCUGGAAGUAGGAUCUUCCCAGUUUAACAAUGAAUCUUUGCUCUUCUUCUGCGACGUCGACCUCGUGUUUACUACAGAAUUCCUUCAGCGAUGUCGAGCAAAUACAGUUCUGGGCCAACAAAUAUAUUUUCCAAUCAUCUUCAGCCAGUAUGACCCAAAGAUUGUUUAUAGUGGGAAGGUUCCCAGUGACAACCAUUUUGCCUUUACUCAGAAAACUGGCUUCUGGAGAAACUAUGGGUUUGGCAUCACGUGUAUUUAUAAGGGAGAUCUUGUCCGAGUGGGUGGUUUUGAUGUUUCCAUCCAAGGCUGGGGGCUGGAGGAUGUGGACCUUUUCAACAAGGUUGUCCAGGCAGGUUUGAAGACGUUUAGGAGCCAGGACGUAGGAGUAGUCCACGUCCACCAUCCUGUCUUCUGUGAUCCCAAUCUUGACCCCAAACAGUACAAAAUGUGCUUGGGGUCCAAAGCAUCGACCUAUGGGUCCACACAGCAGCUGGCUGAGAUGUGGCUAGAAAAAAAUGAUCCAAGUUACAGUAAAAGCAGCAAUAAUAAUGGCUCAGUGAGGACAGCCUGAUGUCCAGCUUUGCUGGAAAAGACGUUUUUAAUUAUCUAAUUUAUUUUUCAAAAAUUUUUUGUAUGAUCAGUUUUUGAAGUCCGUAUACAAGGAUAUAUUUUACAAGUGGUUUUCUUACAUAGGACUCCUUUAAGAUUGAGCUUUCUGAACAAGAAUGUGAUCAAUGUUUGCCUUUGAACACAUCCUCUUGCUGAACAUUAUGUAGCAGACCUGCUUAACUUUGACUUGAAAUGUACCUGAGGAACAAAACUUUUUUUAAAAAAUGUUAUCUUUUGAGACCCUUGGCU
Molecule: small RNA, 1949 nt
Filed under: Pongo abelii (Sumatran orangutan)
Lineage: Eukaryota; Metazoa; Chordata; Mammalia; Primates; Hominidae
Description: processed transcript
Source: RNAcentral